This 253-nucleotide ribosomal RNA is filed under the name uncultured bacterium. Its description in RNAcentral is "partial 16S ribosomal RNA". It matches the Rfam family "Bacterial small subunit ribosomal RNA", at positions 524 to 776 of the family's 1533-position model. The record is from RNAcentral.
UACGGAGGGAGCUAGCGUUGUUCGGAAUUACUGGGCGUAAAGCGCACGUAGGCGGCGAUUCAAGUCAGAGGUGAAAGCCCGGGGCUCAACCCCGGAACUGCCUUUGAAACUAGAUUGCUAGAAUCUUGGAGAGGUCAGUGGAAUUCCGAGUGUAGAGGUGAAAUUCGUAGAUAUUCGGAAGAACACCAGUGGCGAAGGCGACUGACUGGACAAGUAUUGACGCUGAGGUGCGAAAGCGUGGGGAGCAAACAGG